ACUGAGUUUAUUUGAGUACUUAGACGGCCAUUAGAGCAACGAUCUAGCACCAUAUAAAUUCAGUAU
RNAcentral lists this microRNA precursor (66 nucleotides) under Caenorhabditis brenneri. Its description in RNAcentral is "microRNA cbn-mir-83 precursor (cbn-mir-83-1, cbn-mir-83-2)". Its record names the gene cbn-mir-83-1. It matches the Rfam family "mir-83 microRNA precursor family", at positions 12 to 76 of the family's 84-position model. Lineage: Eukaryota; Metazoa; Nematoda; Chromadorea; Rhabditida; Rhabditidae. The record is from miRBase by way of RNAcentral.